Molecule: ribosomal RNA, 253 nt
Filed under: uncultured bacterium
Lineage: Bacteria
Description: partial 16S ribosomal RNA
Rfam family: Bacterial small subunit ribosomal RNA
Source: RNAcentral
UACGAAGGGGGCUAGCGUUGCUCGGAAUCACUGGGCGUAAAGGGUGCGUAGGCGGGUCUUUAAGUCAGAGGUGAAAUCCUGGAGCUCAACUCCAGAACUGCCUUUGAUACUGAGGAUCUUGAGUUCGGGAGAGGUGAGUGGAACUGCGAGUGUAGAGGUGAAAUUCGUAGAUAUUCGCAAGAACACCAGUGGCGAAGGCAGCUCACUGGCCCGAUACUGACGCUGAGGCACGAAAGCGUGGGGAGCAAACAGG